GGGGAUGUGGUUCAGAGGUAGAGCUGCCUGCCUAGCAUGCAGGAGGCCCUGGGUUCAAUCCCUAUUACCCCUA
RNAcentral lists this transfer RNA (73 nucleotides) under Urocitellus parryii (Arctic ground squirrel). RNAcentral's name for it is "Spermophilus parryii (Arctic ground squirrel) tRNA". It matches the Rfam family "tRNA". Rfam says of the family: Transfer RNA (tRNA) molecules are approximately 80 nucleotides in length. Their secondary structure includes four short double-helical elements and three loops (D, anti-codon, and T loops). Further hydrogen bonds mediate the characteristic L-shaped molecular structure. tRNAs have two regions of fundamental functional importance: the anti-codon, which is responsible for specific mRNA codon recognition, and the 3' end, to which the tRNAs corresponding amino acid is attached (by aminoacyl-tRNA synthetases). tRNAs cope with the degeneracy of the genetic code in two manners: having more than one tRNA (with a specific anti-codon) for a particular amino acid; and 'wobble' base-pairing, i.e. permitting non-standard base-pairing at the 3rd anti-codon position. The record is from Rfam by way of RNAcentral. Lineage: Eukaryota; Metazoa; Chordata; Mammalia; Rodentia; Sciuridae. RNAcentral also lists the same sequence under 2 other names.